Equus caballus (horse) is the source of this 982-nucleotide long non-coding RNA. RefSeq lists it as uncharacterized. Lineage: Eukaryota; Metazoa; Chordata; Mammalia; Perissodactyla; Equidae. The record is from RefSeq and is a predicted model, not a curated record.
UAAAAAAAUUAUUACUUAUCUGAAAUUCAAGUUUAACUGGGCACCCUGUGUUUUUAUUUUUUGUGUUAAACAGAAUUCUCAGAUGCUCCCCCAGUGACCCUCACCUUUGUAUAAUCUCCUCCUCUGGAGUGUGAGUGAAACCUGUGACUAUUUGGGACAUCCCUCCUGUGCUUAGAUUACAUUACAUAGCCAAAGGGUCUUUUGUAAAUGUAAUUAAGGUAAUUAAUCAGUUGAUUUUGAGUUAAUCGAAAAGGAGAUUAUCUGGCUGGACUGCACCUAACCACAGGAGCCCUUUAAGUCUGGCUCUAAAGGCCAGAGACAGAAGUCCAAGAUUCGAAGCAGUAGAGAAUUCUUCUGUUGGCCUUGAAGGAGAAAACAGCUAUGUUGCAGAGAAGGCCACACGAAUAGCCGGGAACAGCGGUCAGCCUCUAGGAGUUCAUAACAGCCCGGGUUAACAGCCAGCAAGCAAACAGAGACCUCAGUCCUAUCCCAUAAUGAACUGGAUUCUGGCAACAUCCUGAAGGAGCUUGGAGAAGGACCCCGAGCCUCAGGAGAGAUGGCGGCCUGGCUGACCUUGAUUUCAGCUGUGCGAGAGACCCUGAGCAGAAAACCCAUCCAUACCACGCCAGACUCCUGACCCCUGGAAACUAUUCUUCUGGCCAAGAAAAGAGGCCACUAGCAGCUCAGUGUCGGGUUUCCAGCGGACAGAAAGGCAAGCUUUGCUGCUCUGGAACGUGAAAGCCAACUUCUGACUCUCAGGCCUCCUGACCCAACCCAACAUCAGAGCGAAAGGCAGACUUCACAGGCUGGCACCCUCCCUCUCCCAAAUCCCCAAGUUUUCCCAAGCCUGUGAAUCAUGAAUCAAGAAGCAUUUCCUUGGAGACUGAGAGUUCGGAUCAACAGUGAAUCCUAGAAGAAAGAAGGUCGUUUUCCCUCAAACUCCCGUUUCUUUGGAAAGUUAGAAGUUGGAUCUUCUGCCUAA